RNAcentral lists this ribosomal RNA (429 nucleotides) under Actinomycetes bacterium. RNAcentral describes it as "Actinobacteria bacterium partial 16S ribosomal RNA". It matches the Rfam family "Bacterial small subunit ribosomal RNA", at positions 355 to 776 of the family's 1533-position model. Lineage: Bacteria; Bacillati; Actinomycetota; Actinomycetes. The record is from RNAcentral.
UAGGGAAUCUUCCGCAAUGGACGAAAGCCUGACGGAGCAACGCCGCGUGAGUGAUGAAGGUCUUCGGAUCGUAAAACUCUGUUAUUAGGGAAGAACAAAUGUGUAAGUAACUAUGCACGUCUUGACGGUACCUAAUCAGAAAGCCACGGCUAACUACGUGCCAGCAGCCGCGGUAAUACGUAGGUGGCAAGCGUUAUCCGGAAUUAUUGGGCGUAAAGCGCGCGUAGGCGGUUUUUUAAGUCUGAUGUGAAAGCCCACGGCUCAACCGUGGAGGGUCAUUGGAAACUGGAAAACUUGAGUGCAGAAGAGGAAAGUGGAAUUCCAUGUGUAGCGGUGAAAUGCGCAGAGAUAUGGAGGAACACCAGUGGCGAAGGCGACUUUCUGGUCUGUAACUGACGCUGAUGUGCGAAAGCGUGGGGAUCAAACAGG